UUCCGUAGGUGAACCUGCGGAAGGAUCAUUACUGAAUUAUCUAUUCAAUUUAUAAACUCUUUCGAGACUCGAUAUACAAAAUGUCUGAAUGAAAAUAAUUUAAUUAUUAAAACUUUUAACAACGGAUCUCUUGGUUCUCGCAUCGAUGAAGAACGCAGCAAAAUGCGAUAAGUAUUGUGAAUUGCAGGAUUUUGUGAAUCAUCGAAUUUUUGAACGCACAUUGCGCCCUCUGGUAUUCCGGAGGGCAUACCUGUUUGAGCGUCAUUUUUCUCUCUCUAUCUCUAGAGGUUAUGGACUAUAUACAUUAUGUAUUCGUCUGAAAAAUAGUGGUGGCUAUGCAUUGUAUGCCUACAAACUAAUGUUGUAAAAAUUCGUUAGGAAAUAGGUAAUUGAUGCAAAAUACACCUUAAACUAUUAUUUAUUUGACCUCAAAUC
This 435-nucleotide unclassified non-coding RNA is filed under the name Lipomyces sp. MK1-2020. RNAcentral describes it as "sequence contains ITS1, 5.8S rRNA gene, ITS2, 28S rRNA gene". The stretch from base 111 to 264 matches the Rfam family "5.8S ribosomal RNA". Lineage: Eukaryota; Fungi; Ascomycota; Lipomycetes; Lipomycetales; Lipomycetaceae. The record is from RNAcentral.